GCUCAGAAACUUAAGGCAUUGACGGGGCCCGCACAAGCGGUGGAGUAUGUGGUUUAAUUCGAUGCAACGCGAAGAACCUUACCUGGUCUUGGCAUCCCGGAGACCCUUAGGAAACUAGGGGAUGCUUCCAUCUGGAAGAAUCUGGAGACAGGUGCUGCAUGGCUGUCGUCAGCUCGUGUCGUGAGAUGUUGGGUUAAGUCCCGCAACGAGCGCAACCCUUGCCUUUAGUUGCCAGCAGUUCGGCUGGGCACUCUAAAGGGACUGCCGGUGUUAAACCGGAGGAAGGUGGGGAUGACGUCAAGUCCUCAUGGCCUUUAUGACCAGGGCUACACACGUACUACAAUGGCCGAUACAAAGGGCAGCGACACUGCGAGGUGAAGCCAAUCCCGUAAAAUCGGUCUCAGUCCGGAUUGGAGUCUGCAACUCGACUCCAUGAAGUUGGAAUCGCUAGUAAUCGUGGAUCAGCAUGCCACGGUGAAUACGUUCCCGGGCCUU
RNAcentral lists this ribosomal RNA (495 nucleotides) under uncultured Desulfobulbus sp. RNAcentral's name for it is "bacterial SSU rRNA". It matches the Rfam family "Bacterial small subunit ribosomal RNA", at positions 904 to 1382 of the family's 1533-position model. The record is from RNAcentral. Lineage: Bacteria; Pseudomonadati; Thermodesulfobacteriota; Desulfobulbia; Desulfobulbales; Desulfobulbaceae.